GAGAGAGAGAGAGAGAGAGCAAUCGGGGCAAGGCAUGGAGGUGGGUCAGAUGCAGAGAACAUGGGUUGAAUAUACAAAGUCCUUGUUUAGGGAGGGUUUUCUGGACGGUCAGUUUACACAGCUUCAGCUACUGCAAGAUGAGAGCAACCCAGAUUUUGUUGUUGAAGUGGUGUCUCUCUUCUUUGAAGAUUCUGAGAGGCUUCUUAAUGAUCUCACUAGAGCUUUAGAUCAGCAAAUUGUAGACUUCAAAAGGGUUGAUGCCCAUGUGCACCAGUUGAAGGGUAGCAGCUCCAGGUACCUUCUUUUUGUUUUGCAUUUCGUAGCUGUCUUGUCGAGCCAUUGACUCCUACAUUACUCUUUUAAUACUGUUCGAACUUUUAUCCAUCUUAGGUCCGAUUAUUGGAGUCUGCAGCCACAUUUUUAAAACCAAGAAAGUUCAUCGAGUCUCAAAACAUUAAAAGAAAAAAUAAAAUUCUAUUCAUUUCAGAUCUGACACAGAGAAUAGAAAGUGAGACAUUGAGUUUAAUUGUUCCUGUUUAGCUCAUUUCUUGUUUGAUGAGAAAAGAAAAUGGGUUUCUUUCUGUGAACAGCAUAGGUGCACAGAGGGUUAAAAAUGCCUGCAUUGCUUUCCGCAACUUCUGUGAGGAGCAGAACUCUGAAGCGUGCUUGAAAUGCCUGCAACAAGUAAGGCAAGAGUAUUGUCUUGUGAAAAACAAGCUUGAAACUCUAAUCAGGCUGGAGCAACAAAUUGUGGCAGCUGGUGGGUCAAUUCCAAUUGAAGAAUUGAGUUUUCAAGGUUAUCAAGUGAAAUUGUGAGGAUCACUGUUUGGUUUUGUGUCUCACUUGUCUUUCACCGUAAGGUUCUGUUUAAUUAAUGGGGUUUGUGCUUUGUAUGAGUUAUGUGAAGAUAAAGAUUCUCAUCUAUUGCCACUUCUCAUUAUGAUCUUCAAGAGAACCUUUCCUGUUUAUGCUUCUCUUAUAUUUAUUACUUGUUUUCUAAUCUUUUAUUCUUUAUAUUAUCUAUAAAUAUGACUUUAGUGGAGAAAUAUUCUGUCAGCUGAUAGUAGAAUAUGGAAGUGGAUUUUUAACUUUGCUGAUUCAAUCUGCACCAUUGAUGUGGUUCAUGAGUUAAUUUUGACAUGCAUUCACCUGAUGCAUUCCUAGGAUCCUGUUAGUUGGAAUGCCACAAUUCUUAAAUUCAGCUAAAUUUUGAGUUCCUUGUAAUCAGCUUCAUCUGCAAAUUUGAAUUCUUGAUCACCAUCUUUUUUGUAAUCAUGGAUGUGAUGAUUAAUUUGGUGGGUAUAAUGGGAAGUGGGGAAUUGAUCUCCCUAUUACUGUUCCUUGUCUUGGGAAGUCUAACCAACUUUAUAUGCAUAUGAGGGUGCAUCCCACAGGCCACAGUUAUAGCAGUUGUCUAUGGACACAAAAAUCAGAAAAAGAAGAAGAAGACGCUCAAGCAGCCAAUGCUUUUUAUAAAUGUAGGGUCCUGGAAUACUCAAAUCAAUGACAAAGAUUUGAUUCCCAAGGUCAAUAGGAAUCUGUUGAGGCUGUCUGUUUUUGUCUGCUGCUGCACAGACGUGGAAGUGGUGAUUGUUUACAGGUCGAACAUUUCUAACUUGAACUAUGGGAUUGCAGACAAUUUUAUUCCGACAAGAGAAUCAAAGAAGUAACUUUUCAAUGAAUAAUUAGUCCAAUCCAUUACUAUGAUUUCAAGAAUUUGGUUGUGAACUCCACAUUCUCCUCUGCUCCUCGAAGCUUCCUACGACAGCGGAUUGGUUCUUAACUCCCAAUUGCAUUGCAAAAACAUCAUAAUAUACUACAGGGUCUACACUUUCCAAUAUUUUCACCAAUUUUCCUUGUUUUUCAUCCACCACAAUUUGUCCAUCUUUGGAUUCAACACCUUCAGCUAGGACCUUAAUGGGCUUGAUUUGCAAGAUAGGAUUCAGCAAAGGAUCCCCGGCCAAGACCACUGCACCAAGAAUUUCCCCCAAGAAUGUAUCCUGCAGAAUAACAUCGUUAAGUAAUAUCAGCAAAAACAGCAAGCAGGAAAGCCAAGAACCAAGAUAGUAAUUAAUGAUAAAGCAGUUGAGAUUUUUCUUUUGGAAUUAUACUAUUUCAUGGUAUAGUACUGAAAGAACAUCAGGCUAGUUAUCAGAUUUUUUUUUUACCAUGUGAUGGUAUCUGUGGUGAGUUUGUUGCAACCGGUAAAGCCUUGACAGCAAACGGUAGGCAAACAAAGCUUCAGGUGUCUUGUUUGUCCUGCCCAGCCUUUGUAGGAUCUUGGAGAAUGAACUUGCUUUGCGUUGGGCGUUGAGUGGAAUAAGUGUAAUGUCCAGUGAUGACUCAAAAACUAUCUUUGCAGCCAAGGGGUCAAGAUACAGGUUCAUUUCUCUAUAUUCAUUAGAAUGGACAGUCAAGACAUUUCCCUUGUCCAAAUUGCUAUGGUUAAUGUGUCCUCCAACAACAUAUACAUCCUGAAUCACAGAGCUUGAGUUUUUCCUUAAUCGAAUAAUCUUUGCUAAAUUAGUCAAUGGUCCAUUGGUCAAUAUGCUAAUCUUAGAUCCUGGUUCCAAUUUUUUCACUAUGGAAUCCCAAAUUUCAAGUGCCAGAGGCUGUCUGAGUUCAGGGUGAUCUGUGUUGCGGGGAGCUCCAAAUUGCAGAGAGUUUUCUGCAGUAUAUCUUCUAGGGCUUCGUGGCAGAUGCCGUGCAAGCCCAUAUAGAGUAUCUGAAUCCAAAAAUCCACCACUCCCUUGUGGAAUGACCUUAAUAUACUUGCAGUCUCCUGGAUCAGACUGGUUCAAUGCAAAUAUAUCUCCUAGACCCACUGGAAUGUCAUCACGACCCAUCAUAUGCAGUAAAUCAUAAACCACAUCUAUAGUUGCAGCAUUUGCCCAGCCGGUUGGACUUACAAUGACAGCCUUGAGGUUGAUCACUUCUACAGGUAAUUUAAGAAGGUAGUAGAGAGCCAGAAAAUCUCCAGCACUCAUAUCCAUGUCAAAGACAAUAGGUUUUCCCAGUUUCUUGCUACCAAAAUCUGGUUUGUAUAGAACUUCUUUGUAAUAACGAAAUUGUGUUGUAAAAUUGAACUUCCCAGUUUGCUGAGGGUGAUUUAGAACAUCCAAGAAACUCUUGAAAUAUGCCCUGUCAAGUCCACUACUAGUGUCUGGAUUAGGUUUAGCUCUGGUAGCGACGAGAACACGUACCCCCUGUGAACCUUUUACCUCCUUUGUAUAGCCAUCCUGGCAUCUUCUCUUCCCAUUCUGCAUUGUGCAGAAUGGAUCUCUGAGGCCUGUCUGGACAUGACCACUGUGUACUCCACCUUUCUCUAGAUUAAACUUUGGAACUUUAUGGCCAUCAAAGAAUGGAUUUGAACCAUCAUAUACCCCAUAAGGUUCAUUUGAAGUAACUACAGUUAUGUUCAUAUAUUCCAUUUCGGCAAAUUCAUUUUCUCCAUUUUUGUUAUGUGAAUUGCGCAUGAUAGAAACUGCUACGCCGGAUGUAAAUGAGUCCCACAUGGAAUAGCUCUGCAAGAAAGUUCGCUAAAUUGCGGGCCUACCGGACAUGUUUUUUGAGAAUGAGCCUUUGAGGACAUUGCAACAAAGAAACAUCUUAAAGAAAAUACCGUAUAAAAUUGGUCAUCAAACCAAGUAUCACGAGCCAUUUUCAAGGAUUGGAAACAGUAUUGUGCCUCAUAUGUAUGUUGGCUCUUUUCAAAUGCCUUAAAGAAAUCCUCAUUUAUGGGAAUGGUAUUUGUUGCAUCCAGGGGCACCAGUGUGACUGGUAUUCCAGAAUGGAUCACCUGAAAUAGAAGCAGAGGUGUCACUAACAUUUGCAGCCAAUCUUUAGCAUUCAUAAUUGCAACAACUUGACAAAGAUAAUGGUUUCCUAAAGAGUUGUGUGUUUGCUUGCCUGAUAUGCAGCAAAAGGAUCUCCAAAGAUAUUAAACUCAGCAUAAGGAUUGCUAAUGAAGUCUGUGAACAGAUUACCUCGGUCACCACAUUGUAUUGGCUCGCAAGAUGAACUUGCAUUUCGUGGGCAACAACCGGUUGGGUUUCGCGACCUCACCCCACCUCCCAUUAUAUAUAUGUGCUUAACAUUCUUCUUUAGAUGUGGAUUUUUCAGAAGAAAAAUGGCAAAAUUCGUAUGACCUCCUGUUAUGAAGAUAGUAAUAGGACCUGCAUAUAUUUUAUCAAUCAGCACUUGCUGUGCAGUGGGUUGUCGAAGAGGAGAAUAUUUCCUGCUGCCCUGCGGUAGGAAAGCUUUCCUUAGGCCAUAGUUUGAAUCAAUAUCUAGUCGUCGACCUAUAGGAAUAGCUUGUCUGUAUCUACAGCCUCCUGCUGUUGAAUUUCCCUGUUCAAUUAUGGGAAGAUAUCCACCAACAUCUGGGAGUAUAGUACCAUCUUCCAGUAUUCCACCCUCACCUCCCACUCCAACUGGUAUAUCGUCGCGGCCCAUCAUGUAAAGAAUGUCAUAGAUUUGGUUCACAGCAUGACCUGCAUCAGUCCAUGCAUUUGCAUUGAUAGUGAUUGCCUCCAACUCAAACUCUGAUCUGUUAAGCUUCAAGAUGUACAAAAGAGCAAAGAAAUCAUCAGUAUCGACAUCCGUAUCCAGAAGAAUCCGAUGAGGCCUACUGUCCACAAUAUGUAAUUUAGCAACAGCAAGUCCAAUGAUCAAUGCAAUAACCACCCAGAAAGUCCUCUGCAAUAACAUUUUUCGUAUUCCAAUCUCAACCCUCAAGAGUCUACUCGCUGCAAACCUGCAAACUGUUAC
This 4770-nucleotide unclassified non-coding RNA is filed under the name Hevea brasiliensis (rubber tree). The record is from RNAcentral. Lineage: Eukaryota; Viridiplantae; Streptophyta; Magnoliopsida; Malpighiales; Euphorbiaceae.